Molecule: long non-coding RNA, 301 nt
Organism: Asterias rubens (European starfish)
Lineage: Eukaryota; Metazoa; Echinodermata; Asteroidea; Forcipulatida; Asteriidae
Exons: 3
Source: RefSeq, a predicted model, not a curated record
UCGAUCUACCAACCUGAGAGAGGUCUACACGUUGUGUUUUUCUGACUUUUGUUUGUGCAACAAUUAGAAAGGGGACACAAGUCAAGAAGUGUUGAAAGUUAAUACUGGACCAGGUUGCAAUGAAACUUCGUUUAAGAUCAUCUCUUCGCAGAACAGGCAAAAAUGGCAAACAAUUUUGUUUUCAGCAGGAAGACCAGCCUGGAUUUAUAGUGCGACAUAUCAACAAAUUCAUUGGAAGUGGUGUUUUUGCAACGAAAAGGUUCUCAAGAAAUGACUUCCUUCUCGAGUACCGGGGAGAGCU